This 481-nucleotide ribosomal RNA is filed under the name uncultured bacterium. RNAcentral's name for it is "bacterial SSU rRNA". It matches the Rfam family "Bacterial small subunit ribosomal RNA", at positions 17 to 518 of the family's 1533-position model. The record is from RNAcentral.
UUCUGGCUCAGGACGAACGCUGGCGGCGUGCUUCAUACAUGCAAGUCGAGCGAGAAUCUCUAGCUUGCUAGAGAGGAAAGUGGCGGACGGGUGAGUAAAAUGUAGGUAAUCUGCCUUUAAGCGGGGGACAACAGUUGGAAACGAUUGCUAAUACCCCAUAUGAGCGUACCUGAGAUGGUAUUCUUGAAAACUCCGGUGCUUAGAGAUGAGCCUGCAUCUGAUUAGCUAGUUGGGGGUGUAAUGGACCACCAAGGCGACGAUCAGUAGCUGGUUUGAGAGGAUGAUCAGCCACAAUGGGACUGAGACACGGCCCAUACUCCUACGGGAGGCAGCAGUAGGGAAUUUUGCGCAAUGGGGGAAACCCUGACGCAGCAACGCCGCGUGAAUGAGACGGCCUUCGGGUUGUAAAGUUCUGUCAAUAGGGACGAAAAAUGACGGUACCUAUAGAGGAAGCACCGGCUAACUCCGUGCCAGCCGCUGC